GGAUGAACCCUUGGAGAGACUCUUAAAGAGCACCGAAGGAGCAAGCCGCAAAGGUGAAACUCUCAGGUAAAAGGACAGGGACAGAUAA
RNAcentral lists this non-coding RNA (88 nucleotides) under Clostridium sp. RNAcentral describes it as "Glycine sequence". It matches the Rfam family "Glycine riboswitch aptamer". From Rfam's summary of the family: This family represents the bacterial glycine riboswitch. Glycine riboswitches usually consist of two metabolite-binding aptamers domains with similar structures in tandem. Lineage: Bacteria; Bacillati; Bacillota; Clostridia; Eubacteriales; Clostridiaceae. The record is from RNAcentral.